AUACGUAGGUGACAAGCGUUAUCCGGAUUUACUGGGCGUAAAGGGCGUGUAGGCGGCCUGUUAAGUCUGGAGUGAAAGUCCUGUUUUCAAGAUGGGAAUUGCUUUGGAUACUGAUGGGCUUGAGUGCAGGAGAGGUUAUCGGAAUUCCCGGUGUAGCGGUGAAAUGCGUAGAGAUCGGGAGGAACACCAGUGGCGAAGGCGGGUAACUGGACUGCAACUGACGCUGAGGCGCGAAAGUGUGGGGAGCAAACAGGAUUAGAUACCCUGGUAGUCCACACUGUAAACGAUGAAUGCUAGGUGUAGGAGGUAUCGACCCCUUCUGUGCCGCAGUAAACACAGUAAGCAUUCCGCCUGGGGAGUACGGUCGCAAGAUUAAAACUCAAAGGAAUUGACGGGG
This 397-nucleotide ribosomal RNA is filed under the name uncultured bacterium. RNAcentral describes it as "partial 16S ribosomal RNA". It matches the Rfam family "Bacterial small subunit ribosomal RNA", at positions 523 to 918 of the family's 1533-position model. The record is from RNAcentral.